UGAUCCUGGCUCAGGAUGAACGCUAGCGGCAGGCUUAACACAUGCAAGUCGAGGGGUAACAUUGUAGCUUGCUACAGAUGACGACCGGCGCACGGGUGCGUAACGCGUAUAGAACUUACCUUUUACAGAGGGAUAGCCUUUAGAAAUGAAGAUUAAUACCUCAUAGUAUUAUUGAUUGGCAUCAAUUAAUAAUUAAAGAUUUAUCGGUAAAAGAUGGCUAUGCGUCCUAUUAGCUAGAUGGUAAGGUAAUGGCUUACCAUGGCUACGAUAGGUAGGGGCCCUGAGAGGGGGAUCCCCCACACUGGUACUGAGACACGGACCAGACUCCUACGGGAGGCAGCAGUGAGGAAUAUUGGGCAAUGGAGGUAACUCUGACCCAGCCAUGCCGCGUGCAGGAAGACUGCCCUAUGGGUUGUAAACUGCUUUUAUACAGGAAGAAACACUCGUACGUGUACGAGCUUGACGGUACUGUAAGAAUAAGGACCGGCUAACUCCGUGCCAGCAGCCGCGGUAAUACGGAGGGUCCGAGCGUUAUCCGGAAUCAUUGGGUUUAAAGGGUCCGCAGGCGGUCAAUUAAGUCAGAGGUGAAAUCCCAUAGCUUAACUAUGGAACUGCCUUUGAUACUGGUUGACUUGAGUCAUAUGGAAGUAGAUAGAAUGUGUAGUGUAGCGGUGAAAUGCAUAGAUAUUACACAGAAUACCGAUUGCGAAGGCAGUCUACUACGUGUGUACUGACGCUCAUGGACGAAAGCGUGGGGAGCGAACAGGAUUAGAUACCCUGGUAGU
This 785-nucleotide ribosomal RNA is filed under the name uncultured marine bacterium. RNAcentral describes it as "bacterial SSU rRNA". It matches the Rfam family "Bacterial small subunit ribosomal RNA", at positions 14 to 794 of the family's 1533-position model. The record is from RNAcentral.